This 89-nucleotide microRNA precursor is filed under the name Canis lupus familiaris (dog). RNAcentral describes it as "mir-8799 microRNA precursor family". It matches the Rfam family "mir-8799 microRNA precursor family". The record is from Rfam by way of RNAcentral. RNAcentral also lists the same sequence under 1 other name. Lineage: Eukaryota; Metazoa; Chordata; Mammalia; Carnivora; Canidae.
GGGGGGAGGUCGGAUCCUGGGCUGUGUCCCCGCGCCCUGUGCUCCCGGGCCUGUGCUGUUGGAUUCGCUCUCUGGCCGGGCAGCCGCCG